Molecule: long non-coding RNA, 491 nt
Organism: Culex quinquefasciatus (southern house mosquito)
Lineage: Eukaryota; Metazoa; Arthropoda; Insecta; Diptera; Culicidae
Exons: 2
Source: RefSeq, a predicted model, not a curated record
CAGAAUGAAGAUUCGACUUCGGCAGAAAUAUCUGCCGAACGUGCUCGGCAAAGUGAUAUUCUGCCGAAAUCUCGGCAGAAAAUUCAUUGUUCCAAUAUUCUCGGUUAAAUUUAACCGAUAGUUCGGCAGAUCUAAGCAAAAUGCCGAAGUUCGUCAGUUAAAUUUAACGAAAAUCUCGGCAUGUCCAAAAUCUACCGAGUUCGGCAAUUCAACUGUCAAAUUUGCUAGAAAGUGCCGAGCUGUUCGGUUAGAUGUUGAGGUAGCCAUAUUUGUUUUCGAUAUGAGUAGUGCUCACUGAACUAAGUUCCGGAACUUUGGAUAAAUCGGGAUUUAUACUUGAAUUUCUACAGGAUUUCUGCUUGGAUUUCUACUUGAAAGCUUUUACCAAGGAAAUGCAUGACGAUGGUGCUUGGUAGAAGUAUAGGAUUCAUUCUGGUUCAGAUUGUAUUAGAUUAUACAUAAAAAGAGCAAUAAAUAUAAAAAAGCAUGCA